This 587-nucleotide ribosomal RNA is filed under the name uncultured bacterium. Its description in RNAcentral is "bacterial SSU rRNA". It matches the Rfam family "Bacterial small subunit ribosomal RNA", at positions 338 to 916 of the family's 1533-position model. The record is from RNAcentral.
CCUACGGGAGGCAGCAGUAGGGAAUCUUCCACAAUGGACGAAAGUCUGAUGGAGCAACGCCGCGUGAGCGAUGAAGGCCUUCGGGUCGUAAAGCUCUGUUGUUAGGGAAGAACAAGUGCCAGAGUAACUGCUGGCACCUUGACGGUACCUAACCAGAAAGCCACGGCUAACUACGUGCCAGCAGCCGCGGUAAUACGUAGGUGGCAAGCGUUGUCCGGAAUUAUUGGGCGUAAAGCGCGCGCAGGUGGUUCCUUAAGUCUGAUGUGAAAGCCCACGGCUCAACCGUGGAGGGUCAUUGGAAACUGGGGGACUUGAGUGCAGAAGAGGAAAGUGGAAUUCCAAGUGUAGCGGUGAAAUGCGUAGAGAUUUGGAGGAACACCAGUGGCGAAGGCGACUUUCUGGUCUGUAACUGACACUGAGGCGCGAAAGCGUGGGGAGCGAACAGGAUUAGAAACCCCGGUAGUCCUAGCCGUAAACGAUGAAUACUGGGUGUCGGUGGUCCUAACCCCAUCGGUGCCGAAGCCAACGCGUUAAGUAUUCCGCCUGGGGACUACGGCCGCAAGGUUAAAACUCAAAGGAAUUGACGG